UGGGACAUGGCCAAGUGGUAAGGCAGCGGUUUUUGGUACCGAUAGUCGGAGGUUCGAGUCCUUCUGUCCCAG
Molecule: transfer RNA, 72 nt
Filed under: Sarcinofilum mucosum
Lineage: Eukaryota; Viridiplantae; Chlorophyta; Ulvophyceae; Ulotrichales; Sarcinofilaceae
Description: tRNA-Gln
Rfam family: tRNA
About the family: Transfer RNA (tRNA) molecules are approximately 80 nucleotides in length. Their secondary structure includes four short double-helical elements and three loops (D, anti-codon, and T loops).
Source: RNAcentral